UAGCUUAGUGGUCAAGCACAUGCUUAGCAUGCAUGAGGACCUGGGUUCAAUUCCUAG
This 57-nucleotide transfer RNA is filed under the name Camelus bactrianus (Bactrian camel). It matches the Rfam family "tRNA", at positions 8 to 63 of the family's 71-position model. From Rfam's summary of the family: Transfer RNA (tRNA) molecules are approximately 80 nucleotides in length. RNAcentral also lists the same sequence under 2 other names. The record is from Rfam by way of RNAcentral. Lineage: Eukaryota; Metazoa; Chordata; Mammalia; Artiodactyla; Camelidae.